This 492-nucleotide ribosomal RNA is filed under the name uncultured bacterium. RNAcentral describes it as "partial 16S ribosomal RNA". It matches the Rfam family "Bacterial small subunit ribosomal RNA", at positions 29 to 507 of the family's 1533-position model. The record is from RNAcentral.
AGUGAACGCUGGCGGUAGGCCUAACACAUGCAAGUCGAACGGCAGCACAGUAAGAGCUUGCUCUUACGGGUGGCGAGUGGCGGACGGGUGAGGAAUACAUCGGAAUCUACUUUUUCGUGGGGGAUAACGUAGGGAAACUUACGCUAAUACCGCAUACGACCUACGGGUGAAAGCAGGGGAUCUUCGGACCUUGCGCGAUUGAAUGAGCCGAUGUCGGAUUAGCUAGUUGGCGGGGUAAAGGCCCACCAAGGCGACGAUCCGUAGCUGGUCUGAGAGGAUGAUCAGCCAAACUGGAACUGAGACACGGUCCAGACUCCUACGGGAGGCAGCAGUGGGGAAUAUUGGACAAUGGGAGCAAGCCUGAUCCAGCCAUACCGCGUGGGUGAAGAAGGCCUUCGGGUUGUAAAGCCCUUUUGUUGGGAAAGAAAAGCAGCAGGUUAAUACCCCGCUGUUCUGACGGUACCCAAAGAAUAAGCACCGGCUAACUUCGUG